GGAAUAUUGGUCAAUGGAGGCAACUCUGAACCAGCCAUGCCGCGUGAAGGAUUAAGGCCCUCUGGGUUGUAAACUUCUUUUUUAUGGGAAGAAAUGUUCUGAUUCUUCAGAGCUUGACGGUACCAUAGGAAUAAGCACCGGCUAACUCCGUGCCAGCAGCCGCGGUAAUACGGAGGGUGCAAGUGUUAUCCGGAUUCACUGGGUUUAAAGGUUGCGUAGGUGGGCAGAUAAGUCAGUGGUGAAAUCUUCCGGCUUAACCGGAAAGUUGCCGUUGAUACUAUUUGUCUUGAAUAUUGUGGAGGUAAGCGGAAUAUGUCAUGUAGCGGUGAAAUGCUUAGAUAUGACAUAGAACACCAAUUGCGAAGGCAGCUUACUAUAUAAUUAUUGACACUGAGGCACGAAAGCGUGG
RNAcentral lists this ribosomal RNA (409 nucleotides) under uncultured bacterium. RNAcentral's name for it is "bacterial SSU rRNA". It matches the Rfam family "Bacterial small subunit ribosomal RNA", at positions 358 to 764 of the family's 1533-position model. The record is from RNAcentral.